RNAcentral lists this ribosomal RNA (206 nucleotides) under uncultured bacterium. RNAcentral describes it as "partial 16S ribosomal RNA". It matches the Rfam family "Bacterial small subunit ribosomal RNA", at positions 568 to 774 of the family's 1533-position model. The record is from RNAcentral.
AGUGUAGGCGGUCAAGCAAGUCAGAGGUGAAAGGCAUCGGCUCAACCGAUGUAAGCCUUUGAAACUGUUUGACUUGAGUGCAGGAGAGGUAAGUGGAAUUCCUAGUGUAGCGGUGAAAUGCGUAGAUAUUAGGAGGAACACCAGUGGCGAAGGCGAUUUACUGGACUGUAACUGACGCUGAGGCUCGAAAGCGUGGGGAGCGAACA